Molecule: ribosomal RNA, 376 nt
Filed under: uncultured soil bacterium
Lineage: Bacteria
Description: bacterial SSU rRNA
Rfam family: Bacterial small subunit ribosomal RNA
Source: RNAcentral
AGAUUGAACGCUAGCGGGAUGCUUUACACAUGCAAGUCGAACGGCAGCGCGGACUUCGGUCUGGCGGCGAGUGGCGAACGGGUGAGUAAUAUAUCGGAACGUGCCCAGUAGCGGGGGAUAACUACGCGAAAGCGUGGCUAAUACCGCAUACGCCCUACGGGGGAAAGGGGGGAUCGCAAGACCUCUCACUAUUGGAGCGGCCGAUAUCAGAUUAGCUAGUUGGUGAGGUAAAGGCUCACCAAGGCGACGAUCUGUAGCUGGUUUGAGAGGACGACCAGCCACACUGGGACUGAGACACGGCCCAGACUCCGUACGGGAGGCAGCAGUGGGGAAUUUGGACAAGUGGGGAAACCCUGAUCCAGCCAGUCCCGCGUGU